GGGCAUGCUUAACAUGCAGUCGAACGGCAGCACGAAGAGAGCUUGCUCUCUUGGUGGCGAGUGGCGGACGGGUGAGUAAUAUAUCGGAACGUGCCUAGUAUCGGGGGAUAACUACUCGAAAGAGUGGCUAAUACCGCAUACGCCCUACUGGGGAAAGGGGGGGAUCGCAAGACCUCUCACUAUUAGAGCGGCCGAUAUCGGAUUAGCUAGUUGGUGGGGUAAAGGCUCACCAAGGCAACGAUCCGUAUCUGGUUUGAGAGGACAACCAGCCACACUGGGACUGAGACACGGCCCACACUCCUACGGGAGGCGGCAGUGGGGAAUUUUGGACAAUGGGGGAAACCCUGAUCCACCCAUCCCGCGUGUGUGAUGAAAGCCUUCGGGUUGUAAAGUACUUUUGGCAGAGAAAAAAAGGUACCUCCUAAUACUAGGUACUGCUGACGGUAUCUGCAGAAUAAGCACCGGCUAACUACGUGCCAGCAGCCGCGGUAAUACGUAGGGGGCAAGCGUUAAUCGGAAUUACUGGGCGUAAAGCGUGUGUAGGCGGUUCGGAAAGAAAGAUGUGAAAUCCCAGGGCUUAGCCUUGGAACUGCGUGUUUAACUGCCAAGCUAUAGUAUGUCAGAGGGGGGUAGAAUUCCACGUGUAACAGUGAAAUGCGUACAUAUGUGGAGGAAUACCGAUGGCGAAAGCAGCCCCCUGGGAUAAUACUGACGCUCACACACGAAAGCGUGGGGAGCAAACACGAUUAGAUACCCUGGUACUCCACGCCCUAAACGAUGUCCACUAGCUGUUGGGGCCGAUACGUCUUAUGAGCGCACCUAACGCGUGAAGUUGACCGCCUGGAGAGUACGGUCGCAGAUUAAAACUCACAGGAAUUGACGGGGACCCGCACAGCGGUGGAUGAUGUGGAUCAUUUCGAUGCAACGCGAAGACCUUACCUAC
This 943-nucleotide ribosomal RNA is filed under the name uncultured bacterium. RNAcentral describes it as "bacterial SSU rRNA". It matches the Rfam family "Bacterial small subunit ribosomal RNA", at positions 41 to 978 of the family's 1533-position model. The record is from RNAcentral.